Molecule: ribosomal RNA, 445 nt
Filed under: uncultured bacterium
Lineage: Bacteria
Description: partial 16S ribosomal RNA
Rfam family: Bacterial small subunit ribosomal RNA
Source: RNAcentral
GUAGGGAAUAUUGGGCAAUGGAGGCAACUCUGACCCAGCCAUGCCGCGUGCAGGAUGACGGCCCUCUGGGUUGUAAACUGCUUUUAUACGGGAAGAAAAAAUACUACGUGUAGUAUACUGACGGUACCGUAAGAAUAAGGAUCGGCUAACUCCGUGCCAGCAGCCGCGGUAAUACGGAGGAUCCAAGCGUUGUCCGGAUUUAUUGGGUUGAAAGGGUGCGUAGGCGGAUCUUUAAGUCAGUGGUGAAAGCCUGCAGCUUAACUGUAGAAUUGCCAUUGAAACUGAAGAUCUUGAAUGUGGUUAAAGUAGGCGGAAUGUAUCAUGUAGCGGUGAAAUGCUUAGAUAUGAUACAGAACACCGAUAGCGAAGGCAGCUUGCUGAACCAUUAUUGACGCUGAGGCACGAAAGCGUGGGGAGCGAACAGGAUUAGAUACCCCAGUAGUCC